Molecule: ribosomal RNA, 464 nt
Filed under: uncultured bacterium
Lineage: Bacteria
Description: partial 16S ribosomal RNA
Rfam family: Bacterial small subunit ribosomal RNA
Source: RNAcentral
CUACGGGUGGCAGCAGUGAGGAAUUUUGCGCAAUGGGGGAAACCCUGACGCAGCAACGCCGCGUGAGUGAAGAAGGCUUUCGGGUCGUAAAGCUCUGUCAGAUAGGAAAAAAGUUCAUAUGUAAAUAGCUUAUGAAUCUGAUGGUACUAUCAGAGGAAGAACCGGCUAACUCCGUGCCAGCAGCCGCGGUAAUACGGAGGGUGCAAGCGUUGUUCGGAAUUACUGGGCGUAAAGGGCGUGUAGGCGGUAUGGUAAGGCAGAUGUGAAAGCCCUGGGCUUAACUCAGGAAGUGCAUUUGAUACUGCCAUCCUUGAGUAUGGGAGAGGAGAGUAGAAUUCCCAUUGUAGAGGUGAAAUUCGUAGAUAUUGGGAGGAAUACCCGUGGCGAAGGCGACUCUCUGGACCAAUACUGACGCUGAGACGCGAAAGCGUGGGGAGCAAACAGGAUUAGAUACCCGGGUAGUC